Molecule: transfer RNA, 92 nt
Filed under: bacterium
Lineage: Bacteria
Also listed under: 2 other names
Description: tRNA-Ser
Rfam family: tRNA
About the family: Transfer RNA (tRNA) molecules are approximately 80 nucleotides in length. Their secondary structure includes four short double-helical elements and three loops (D, anti-codon, and T loops). Further hydrogen bonds mediate the characteristic L-shaped molecular structure. tRNAs have two regions of fundamental functional importance: the anti-codon, which is responsible for specific mRNA codon recognition, and the 3' end, to which the tRNAs corresponding amino acid is attached (by aminoacyl-tRNA synthetases). tRNAs cope with the degeneracy of the genetic code in two manners: having more than one tRNA (with a specific anti-codon) for a particular amino acid; and 'wobble' base-pairing, i.e. permitting non-standard base-pairing at the 3rd anti-codon position.
Source: RNAcentral
GGAGAGGUGGCCGAGUCCGGUUGAAGGCGCAUCCCUGCUAAGGAUGUAACGGGGUAACCUGUUCGAGGGUUCGAAUCCCUCUCUCUCCGCCA